RNAcentral lists this long non-coding RNA (498 nucleotides) under Bemisia tabaci. Its description in RNAcentral is "lncRNA ENSSWEETPG003083". Lineage: Eukaryota; Metazoa; Arthropoda; Insecta; Hemiptera; Aleyrodidae. The record is from RNAcentral.
UACGAAUAUCUUGACGUGCCCUUAGGUCUAUCAAUGAUUUAAUUUUUCUUUCAAAUUUUUUUUGUCAAAGGUCGUAAGGCUUGUGCAUGGGUUGCUAAGUCGGCUAAUGGCGUUAUUCCCCACAGAACCUGCCACAUCACAGGUUGCCUCAAAACAUGAAGAGUUUGGAGUGUCUGUACUCUUGUGUCAGCAAAGUUAUUUACGAAGGGUUAGCGAAUUAUGAAAAAAGUGGAAACACAAACACUUUGUUCAGGACUGUAAUGGCUUUGAAAGCAGCAUGCAGCAGUAACCCAAGCUAUGUUGAUAGGUGGUCGGUCAGUUGUGCGCGUGCUUCAGCGUUUAGCUCGUGAACAUCUGGCUUCGCUCAUUUCACACACCAGUGCGGAAACUCCUAACGAAAACCCACAACUCAUCAGAAUUGGAACUAAUGAGUUGUUGAUAUUAUGCCUGGAUCUCGUGAAGAAUCGUGUCGGUGGAAUGAGUGGUGAAACGCGGAAG